GCUUUCAUAAUUUAAAUAAAAUAGUGGUCUUGUAAGCCAAAAAUAUGUUUAUUACAUUUAAAGCU
Molecule: transfer RNA, 65 nt
Filed under: Metoecus cf. javanus JL-2021a
Lineage: Eukaryota; Metazoa; Arthropoda; Insecta; Coleoptera; Ripiphoridae
Description: tRNA-Thr
Rfam family: tRNA
About the family: Transfer RNA (tRNA) molecules are approximately 80 nucleotides in length. Their secondary structure includes four short double-helical elements and three loops (D, anti-codon, and T loops). Further hydrogen bonds mediate the characteristic L-shaped molecular structure. tRNAs have two regions of fundamental functional importance: the anti-codon, which is responsible for specific mRNA codon recognition, and the 3' end, to which the tRNAs corresponding amino acid is attached (by aminoacyl-tRNA synthetases). tRNAs cope with the degeneracy of the genetic code in two manners: having more than one tRNA (with a specific anti-codon) for a particular amino acid; and 'wobble' base-pairing, i.e. permitting non-standard base-pairing at the 3rd anti-codon position.
Source: RNAcentral